GUCUAAGUAUAAGCAAUUAUACCGCGAAACUGCGAAUGGCUCAUUAAAUCAGUUAUCGUUUAUUUGAUAGUUCCCUACUACAUGGAUAACCGUGGUAAUUCUAGAGCUAAUACAUGCAAAAAACCGCGACUUCGGAAGCGGUGUAUUUAUUAGAUUAAAGACCAAUGCCCUUCGGGGCUGACUGGUGAUUCAUGAUAACUUCUCGAAUCGCACGGCCUUGCGCCGGCGAUGGUUCAUUCAAAUUUCUGCCCUAUCAACUUUCGACUUUAGCGUAGUGGGCUAAAGUGGUUACAACGGGUAACGGAGGGUUAGGGCUCGACCCCGGAGAAGGAGCCUGAGAGACGGCUACUACAUCCAAGGAAGGCAGCAGGCGCGCAAAUUACCCAAUCCCGACACGGGGAGGUAGUGACAAUAAAUACUGAUACAGGGCUCUUUUGGGUCUUGUAAUUGGAAUGAGUACAAUUUAAAUCCCUUAACGAGGAACAAUUGGAGGGCAAGUCUGGUGCCAGCAGCCGCGGUAAUUCCAGCUCCAAUAGCGUAUAUUAAAGUUGUUGUGGUUAAAAAGCUCGUAGUUGAACCUGGGCCUCGCGCAGACCGGUCCGCCUCACCGCGUGCACUGGUCCUGCCGGGGCUUUCACUAGGGGAUUCGCAUGCCCUUCACUGGGCGUGCGCGGAACCUGGACCUUUACUGUGAAAAAAUUAGAGUGUUCAAAGCAGGCCUAUGCUCGAAUACAUUAGCAUGGAAUAAUAGAAUAGGACGUGUGGUUCUAUUUUGUUGGUUAUGGGACCGCCGUAAUGAUUAAUAGGGACAGUCGGGGGCAUCAGUAUUCAAUUGUCAGAGGUGAAAUUCUUGGAUUUAUUGAAGACUAACUACUGCGAAAGCAUUUGCCAAGGAUGUUUUCAUUAAUCAGGAACGAAAGUUAGGGGAUCGAAGACGAUCAGAUACCGUCGUAGUCUUAACCAUAAACUAUGCCGACUAGGGAUCGGGCGAUGUUACUUUUUGACUCGCUCGGCACCUUACGAGAAAUCAAAGUUUGUGGGUUCCUGGGGGAGUAUGGUGGCAACGCUGAAACUUAAAGAAUUGACGGAAGGGCACCACCAGGGGUGGAGCCUGCGGCUUAAUUUGACUCACACGGGGAAACUCACCAGGUCCAGACCAAUGAGGAUGACG
This 1171-nucleotide ribosomal RNA is filed under the name Lulworthia cf. purpurea. RNAcentral's name for it is "SSU rRNA". It matches the Rfam family "Eukaryotic small subunit ribosomal RNA", at positions 57 to 1245 of the family's 1831-position model. Lineage: Eukaryota; Fungi; Ascomycota; Sordariomycetes; Lulworthiales; Lulworthiaceae. The record is from RNAcentral.